CACACAGUAUAGGCAGUGCCAGUCUCCCCCUCACACAGUAUAGACAGUGCCAGCCUCUCCCUCACACAGUAUAGGCAGUGCCAGUCUCCCCCUCACACACAGUAUAGGCAGUGCCAGUCACCCCCUCACACACAGUAUAGGCAGUGCCAGUCGCCCCCUCACACACAGUAUAGGCAGUGCCAGUCUCUCCCUCACACACAGUAUAGGCAGUGCCAGUCGCCCCCUCACACACAGUAUAGGCAGUGCCAGUCUCUCCCUCACACACAGUAUAGGCAGUGCCAGUCUCUCUCUCACACACAGUAUAGGCAGUGCCAGUCGCCCCCUCACACACAG
This is a non-coding RNA of Pelobates cultripes (western spadefoot toad), 333 nucleotides long. NCBI's taxonomy places the organism in Eukaryota, Metazoa, Chordata, Amphibia, Anura, Pelobatidae. The record is from the annotation of a GenBank genome assembly.